This 1541-nucleotide long non-coding RNA is filed under the name Cricetulus griseus (Chinese hamster). Its description in RNAcentral is "lncRNA (ENSCGRG00015030813.1)". The record is from RNAcentral. Lineage: Eukaryota; Metazoa; Chordata; Mammalia; Rodentia; Cricetidae.
GUUGUACUUUUGGGUGACUAUUGUGAAAGGCAUUGUUUCUCUGAUUUCUUUCUCAUCUGUUUAUCAUUUAUAUGUAGGAAUUGUAUAUAGUAAGGCUACUGAUUUUUUGUGUUAGUUUUUUAUCCUGGUACUUUGCAGAAAGUUUUAUCAUCUGUACAAAUUUCCUGGCGGAGUUUUAGGGUCUGUUACAUAUAAAACCAUUUCAUCUGCAAAUAAAGAUACUUUGACUUCUUCCCUUCCUAUUUAUAUCCCCUGGAUCUCCUUCAGUUUUCUUAUCGCUGUAGCUAAGACUUCAAGAACUAUCUUGAGUAUGUAUGGAGAUAGUAGAUAUCCUUGUGUUGUUCCUGAUUUUAGUAGACAUGCUCUGAAUUUCUGUUUAGGAUGAUGUCAGAUGUGCGCUAGCUGUAAAGUGCCUUUAUUAUGUUGAGGUUCAGUGAUCAUCAUGGAAGAAAAGGACAGAAAGAUUGUAAGAGUCAGAGGAGUGUAUUAAUGCAGCAAAAUGGUGUUUUCUGGAAAUGACAAGGGAGCUUCACACAUCAACUCAUGUGGUGAUAUCUUGUUUAUGAACUAAUAAUACUUGUCUGAAGAUUACAAUAUAAAGGUAGUCACAGCUACAGAAGCUUGGCAAUGAUGGCACACACCUCUAAUCCCAGGACUCAUGAGACAGAGGCAGAUAGAUCUCUGUGAGUUUAAGGCAACUCAGGGCAACAUAAGAGUGAAUCAGUCUAAAAGAGAAACAGAGCUCACACCUUUAAUCCCAGCACUGGAGAGGUAUAUAAGACAGGAGCAGGGUUUCAUAUUCUGGCACUUAGUCUACAGCCAUGUUGAGGAUAGAAUCUCUCCAGCCUUGGGAGAGGUCAGAACUCUCUGGUGGCUUGGGUGCUUUGCUUUUCUGAUCCUCAGCUUGAACCCUACUAUCUAUCUCUGGAUUUGUGUUAUUCAUGCUCACAACAGCUGUGACGACAAUCAGAGCAGCAACACAAGAUCAAGCCAGACAAAUUCCAACAUGGAUUGAGGAGGGCGUCACAAAGUCCCAUCCCUAGCCAAGGAGCUAUUAGCAAUAUAUGGACACUGGAGGGGGAGUCAGCAUUCUUCAGGGAUGGGACCCAUGGGAGGCUAUGCAGCCUCCAGUAGAUUUCCUCCCAUCCCUGCAAAUACUGGCAACACUAAGUGGGCAUAGUGGGUUAAAAAAAUAAAAAGAACAUACAAGGUUGUUGAGGAAACUGUAUCAUCAGCCUUUGACAUUAUUUAACUAUUUCUUUCUCUCUGAAACCUUCGUUUAACUGGCUUUCUUGGGUACCAAAUCACUGGUUGCUUUGUCUCGGACUCUAUUCACUUUCUCCUGCCUGUCUCUUGCCUCUAUGUGGCAGUACACUUCUGGGAUCAUUUUUCAGUCUUUGUUUAUGCGCUCUUACAAAUUGAUGAUUUCACAUCUCUCAAAGCCUUCACUAUUAGCUGAACCUUCAUGUCUUGCAAAUUUAUAUCCUUAGUUUCAGCUUCAUUUCUGAAUUUUAGGGUACCCCUAGAUUCCAAAUAUUCAG